UAGAGAGAGAAGAGGGGAGGGGAGGGGAGNUCAGUUUUAUGAAAUAAUACUUAAGAUGUAAGUGAUAACUAUUUUUAUAAUAUAUAAGUAAUAGAAAAUACAAAGUACAAUGUUACUAGUAACUUCUCAUUUUUUCACCUCUCCUUAUAAAUAAAUGAUAAGUGAAACAUGACAGUAUAUUUGAAUAAAUAUAAUGUUAGGAAGUGAUGUGAAUCCCAAUGUUUAUAAUGUAAGUGCUUCUAACUACCCCAAAACAAAAUUUCCCUGUACAAAAUUUUUAUGAUCCUUUCCCCUUCUUCUCUCUAAAACAGGUCAGCAGUGCCAAACUUUGUCAUUAGCUUUUUUACAUCUCAGUUGUCCCACCUGUAAAUUAGGUUUACUGAUGUUUCCAUAGAUCCCUGAUCUGUGCAACAACAUUGUUAAGUAUCUCAAAAUUCCUCAUUAACUCUAAAUAAAAGAAAAUUAUUGCCAGCACGGUGGUUGAUGCCUGUAAUUCCAGAAGCUUGGUAGGCUGAAGCAGGAGUAUUUCAAGUUCAAGGUCAGCCUCAACAAUUUAGUGAAUCCCUAAGCAAUUUAGCAAACCUGUCUCAAAAUAAAAAGGGUUGGGGAUAUAGCUCAGUGGUAAAAUGAACCUGAGUUCAAUCCCCAGUACCAGAAAUUACUAAAUAAAAGAAAAUUAUUAACACAAAUUUUCCUUAUGAAAUAAAUUUAUUUUAAGAAAUAUUCUAGGAUAAAAAUAGAACAAGAAAAUGUAUCUCUGUUUUACAAGUAUACACAGUGGUCUUUUAUUAUGUUCAAAUUGCUGUACUAUUGUUGCUUCAUCUGAUUUUGGGGGGAGGUUACAUUUUGGGAUCUUGAAUAUAAAAAGUA
Molecule: long non-coding RNA, 870 nt
Filed under: Marmota monax (woodchuck)
Lineage: Eukaryota; Metazoa; Chordata; Mammalia; Rodentia; Sciuridae
Source: RNAcentral